RNAcentral lists this ribosomal RNA (484 nucleotides) under uncultured bacterium. RNAcentral describes it as "partial 16S ribosomal RNA". It matches the Rfam family "Bacterial small subunit ribosomal RNA", at positions 30 to 507 of the family's 1533-position model. The record is from RNAcentral.
AUUGAACGCUGGCGGCAGGCCUAACACAUGCAAGUCGAGCGGAUGAAGGGAGCUUGCUCCUGUCUUCAGCGGCGGACGGGUGAGUAAUGCCUAGGAGUCUGCCUGGUCGUGGGGGAUAACGUCCGUAAACGGGCGCUAAUACCGCAUCCGUCCUGAGGGUGAAAGUGGGGGAUCUUCGGACCUCACGCUAUCUGAUGUGCCUAGGUCGGAUUAGCUAGUUGGUGGGGUAAAGGCCUACCAAGGCGACGAUCCGUAACUGGUCUGAGAGGAUGAUCAGUCACACUGGAACUGAGACACGGUCCAGACUCCUACGGGAGGCAGCAGUGGGGAAUAUUGGACAAUGGGCGAAAGCCUGAUCCAGCCAUGCCGCGUGUGUGAAGAAGGUCUUCGGAUUGUAAAGCACUGUAAGUUGGGAGGAAGGGCAGUAAGUUAAUACCUGGAUGUUUUGACGUUACCAACAGAAUAAGCACCGGCUAACUUCGUG